Molecule: microRNA precursor, 82 nt
Filed under: Ovis aries (sheep)
Lineage: Eukaryota; Metazoa; Chordata; Mammalia; Artiodactyla; Bovidae
Description: mir-1179 microRNA precursor family
Rfam family: mir-1179 microRNA precursor family
Source: Rfam by way of RNAcentral
CCAGAAGGGAAGAAGUAUUCUUUCAUUGGUUGUUGUGUGUUGCCUUGUCAACCAAUCAGAGGAUGCCAUUUAUCCUUUUCUG